GAGUUUGAUCGUGGCUCAGAUUGAACGCUGGCGGCAUGCCUUACACAUGCAAGUCGAACGGCAGCAUGAUCUAGCUUGCUAGAUUGAUGGCGAGUGGCGAACGGGUGAGUAAUACAUCGGAACGUGCCCUGUAGUGGGGAGUAACUAGUCGAAAGAUUAGCUAAUACCGCAUACGACCUGAGGGUGGAAAGUAGGGGGACCGGCAAGGCCUCAUAGCUAUAGGAGCGGCCGAUGUCUGAUUAGCUAGUUGGUGGGGU
This 257-nucleotide ribosomal RNA is filed under the name uncultured microorganism. Its description in RNAcentral is "partial 16S ribosomal RNA". It matches the Rfam family "Bacterial small subunit ribosomal RNA", at positions 9 to 258 of the family's 1533-position model. The record is from RNAcentral.